RNAcentral lists this ribosomal RNA (391 nucleotides) under uncultured bacterium. RNAcentral describes it as "bacterial SSU rRNA". It matches the Rfam family "Bacterial small subunit ribosomal RNA", at positions 30 to 414 of the family's 1533-position model. The record is from RNAcentral.
AGUGAACGCUGGCGGCAGGCCUAACACAUGCAAGUCGAACGGCAGCACAGCAGUAGCAAUACUGUGGGUGGCGAGUGGCGGACGGGUGAGGAAUACAUCGGAAUCUGCCCAGUCGUGGGGGAUAACAUAGGGAAACUUAUGCUAAUACCGCAUACGACCUGAGGGUGAAAGCGGGGGAUCGCAAGACCUCGCGCGAUUGGAUGAGCCGAUGUCCGAUUAGCUAGUUGGCGGGGUAAUGGCCCACCAAGGCGACGAUCGGUAGCUGGUCUGAGAGGAUGAUCAGCCACACUGGAACUGAGACACGGUCCAGGCUCCUACGGGAGGCAGCAGUGGGGAAUAUUGGACAAUGGGCGGCAAGCCUGAUCCAGCCAUGCCGCGUGGGUGAAGAAGG